CCGCUUUUCUCAAGGAAGAUGAUGACGGUACUUGAGGAAUCAGCAUCGGCUAACUUCGUGCCAGCAGCCGCGGUAAUACGAGGGAUGCAAGCGUUAUCCGGAAUUAUUGGGCGUAAAGCGUUCGUAGGUGGCAAAUUAAGUCUGUUGUUAAAACGUGGAGCUUAACUCCAUAUCGGCAAUGGAAACUGGUUAGCUAGAGUAUGGUAGGGGUAACAGGAAUUCCCAGUGUAGCGGUGAAAUGCGUAGAUAUUGGGAAGAACACCAGCGGCGAAAGCGUGUUACUGGGCCAUUACUGACACUGAGGGACGAAAGCUAGGGGAGCGAAAGGGAUUAGAUACCCCUGUAGUCCUAGCCGUAAACGAUGAGAACUAGGUGUUGCGCGUAUCGACCCGCGCGGUGCCGUAGCUAACGCGUUAAGUUCUCCGCCUGGGGAGUACGCACGCAAGUGUGAAACUCAAAGGAAUUGACGGGGGCCCGCACAAGCGGUGGAGUAUGUGGUUUAAUUCGAUGCAACGCGAAGAACCUUACCAGGGUUUGACAUCCUCGGAACUUUCUGGAAACAGAUUGGUGCCUUCGGGAACCGAGAGACAGGUGGUGCAUGGCUGUCGUCAGCUCGUGUCGUGAGAUGUUGGGUUAAGUCCCGCAACGAGCGCAACCCACGUUUUUAGUUGCCAGCAUUAAGUUGGGCACUCUAGAGAGACUGCCGGUGACAAACCGGAGGAAGGUGUGGAUGACGUCAAGUCAGCAUGCCCCUUACAUCCUGGGCUACACACGUACUACAAUGCUACGGACAAAGGGCAGCGAGCCAGCAAUGGUCUGCAAAUCCCAUAAACCGUAGCUCAGUUCAGAUUGCAGGCUGCAACUCGCCUGCAUGAAGGCGGAAUCGCUAGUAAUCGCAGGUCAGCAUACUGCGGUGAAUACGUUCCCGGGCCUUGUACACACCGCCCGUCACACCAUGGGAG
This 962-nucleotide ribosomal RNA is filed under the name Romeriopsis marina LEGE 06013. RNAcentral's name for it is "bacterial SSU rRNA". It matches the Rfam family "Bacterial small subunit ribosomal RNA", at positions 430 to 1410 of the family's 1533-position model. The record is from RNAcentral. Lineage: Bacteria; Bacillati; Cyanobacteriota; Cyanophyceae; Leptolyngbyales; Leptolyngbyaceae.